AGAUGGACUAGAGAAGCACGCAAUGGAAGCAUACAAGAUAGACAAGGAAGGAAUGUGGUAGAGAAUCCAAAGUUUGAAGCCCAACUUUGGUACAAGGGUGUGUCUCACAAGUUUCACACUAUGGCACAUAAAGUAGCCAACUCUCUAGAGUGUCAUCUGAUAUUAGAAAAUGCACUUGAUUGCGUUGGUCCACAACUAGAUGAGAAACUUGAUGCAACUAUGAAUGCUACGAAAAAGCCAUGUGAUGACCAAGAAAAUGUUGACCCAAAUGUGCAACUAACUAGUGAGUUUCUUAGUGCAGCAAAGCUCAAGAAAAAAGAGGUUGCAUCAAAAAAUUUGAGGAGAAAGAAAGGCUGGCUUGAUAAGUUACUCAAGGGGAAGCGCAAGCCAACUAAAGUUGCCUCGUCAAAAAAAAGGGAGCAAAGCAAAAGAAAAAUGAUGGUGGACAGCCUCAAGUGA
Molecule: ribosomal RNA, 459 nt
Filed under: Triticum aestivum (bread wheat)
Lineage: Eukaryota; Viridiplantae; Streptophyta; Magnoliopsida; Poales; Poaceae
Description: partial small subunit ribosomal RNA
Source: RNAcentral